UGGGGAGUCGCCAAGCGGUAAGGCACAAGGUUUUGGUCCUUGCAUACGGGGGUUCGAAUCCCUCCUCCCCAG
RNAcentral lists this transfer RNA (72 nucleotides) under Candidatus Moraniibacteriota bacterium. RNAcentral describes it as "tRNA-Gln". It matches the Rfam family "tRNA". Rfam says of the family: Transfer RNA (tRNA) molecules are approximately 80 nucleotides in length. Their secondary structure includes four short double-helical elements and three loops (D, anti-codon, and T loops). Lineage: Bacteria; Candidatus Moraniibacteriota. The record is from RNAcentral.